GGGGUCGUAGCCUAGCCUGGUAGGGCGACAGUGCGACAAAUCACCGCAAAGGGCUCCAGAGGUCGCUAAACUUCUGACUCAGGGAUGAUGUAAGUUUGGAGCUGCAGUGACCCGUAGGUCGCCGGUUCAAUUCCGGUCGGCCCCA
This 145-nucleotide transfer RNA is filed under the name Cenarchaeum symbiont of Oopsacas minuta. Its description in RNAcentral is "tRNA-OTHER". It matches the Rfam family "tRNA". Rfam says of the family: Transfer RNA (tRNA) molecules are approximately 80 nucleotides in length. Their secondary structure includes four short double-helical elements and three loops (D, anti-codon, and T loops). Further hydrogen bonds mediate the characteristic L-shaped molecular structure. tRNAs have two regions of fundamental functional importance: the anti-codon, which is responsible for specific mRNA codon recognition, and the 3' end, to which the tRNAs corresponding amino acid is attached (by aminoacyl-tRNA synthetases). tRNAs cope with the degeneracy of the genetic code in two manners: having more than one tRNA (with a specific anti-codon) for a particular amino acid; and 'wobble' base-pairing, i.e. permitting non-standard base-pairing at the 3rd anti-codon position. Lineage: Archaea; Thermoproteati; Nitrososphaerota; Candidatus Cenarchaeales; Candidatus Cenarchaeaceae. The record is from RNAcentral.